Molecule: ribosomal RNA, 488 nt
Filed under: uncultured bacterium
Lineage: Bacteria
Description: bacterial SSU rRNA
Rfam family: Bacterial small subunit ribosomal RNA
Source: RNAcentral
GACGAACGCUGGCGGCGUGCCUAAUACAUGCAAGUCGAGCGAAGCGGGGACGGGUGAGUAACACGUGGGCAACCUCCUAUAAGACUGGGAUAACUUCGGGAAACCGGAGCUAAACCGGAUACUUAUAGAUGGGCCCGCGGCGCAUUAGCUAGUUGGUGAGGUAACGGCUCACCAAGGCGACGAUGCGUAGCCGACCUGAGAGGGUGAUCGGCCACACUGGGACUGAGACACGGCCCAGACUCCUACGGGAGGCAGCAGUAGGGAAUCUUCCGCAAUGGACGAAAGUCUGACGGAGCAACGCCGCGUGAGGAUGAAGGUUUUCGGAUCGUAAAACUCUGUUGUUAGGGAAGCGGUACCUAACCAGAAAGCCACGGCUAACUACGUGCCAGCAGCCGCGGUAAUACGUAGGUGGCAAGCGUUGUCCGGAAUUAUUGGGCGUAAAGCGCGCGCAGGCGGUCUUUUAAGUCUGAUGUGAAAGCCCCCGGCUC